This 242-nucleotide ribosomal RNA is filed under the name uncultured bacterium. RNAcentral's name for it is "partial 16S ribosomal RNA". It matches the Rfam family "Bacterial small subunit ribosomal RNA", at positions 91 to 334 of the family's 1533-position model. The record is from RNAcentral.
GAGAGUGGCGAACGGGUGAGUAAUGCGUGACUAACCUGCCCUGUACUUUGGAAUAGCUUCUGGAAACGGGUGGUAAUGCCGAAUGUUCCACAUGAUCGCAUGAUGGUGUGGGAAAGGGUUUACUGGUAUGGGAUGGGGUCGCGUCCUAUCAGCUUGUUGGUGGGGUGAUGGCCUACCAAGGCUUCGACGGGUAGCCGGCCUGAGAGGGUGACCGGCCACAUUGGGACUGAGAUACGGCCCAG